Molecule: long non-coding RNA, 1409 nt
Filed under: Gopherus agassizii (Agassiz's desert tortoise)
Lineage: Eukaryota; Metazoa; Chordata; Testudines; Testudinidae
Description: lncRNA (ENSGAGG00000005274.1)
Source: RNAcentral
CCCUGGGAUUAUUUGGGGGGUGGUGAUGGCUCAAAUUGGGGGGCAAAGGGCAGGGUGAAUGGAGCCAAUGGCUUGGCUCCCUCUGCCCCCCAAAGCCAAGAUGGGGGGAGGGCAGCAGACCCAGGGGAUCUCCCCACCAAGCCUGAGGUCCCCCCCAUCAGGAGAAAGUUUUGCAUUGAGACGCUUCCAAAAAACAACAACAGCAACAAAACCCUGACCCUCCCCACCCCAACCUGCUCCCCCCCCAACACGAAAAUACCCUGGGGUGAGGAGGGGAGGAAGAGGAAACAUUAGCCCUUGAUUCGAGUUCAGCGGGGGUGGGGGGGAUGUCUGAGGAGGGAGAUGGGAAGGAAUGGGGGGUAGAGGGGGUCCCCCACAGAUCGCAGGAACACAAUGUAGUGUGGAGGCAGGGGUGGGGGGACGGAGGAAUGGCUUGUGCUGCCGUCGCCAGUGUUGGGGGGCAGAAAUCCCCCGAGCUUCUCCCCCGAACCCUCCACACCCUGCCUCGGCGGACGCUCGGGCCCCUGACUGCUGCUUCAGCGGAGUCCAGCCCCCAAGAGGAGUCCUGCUCUGCCUGAGCCGGCGUGGGGCCAGGGUGAGGGUGCUGUGCCCCCGGUGGGCAGUAGGGGACAGAUUGGGGCAUCCAACACUGUGGCUAUUCCUUGCCCUCCAGGGCCCAUGGGGGCAGAUCGGGGGCAUGGCUGGGGUGCCCUGAGUUGUGGCUAUUCCCUGCCCCCUGGGACCCAUAGGGGCAGAUGUGGGUCAGUGCCGGGGCGUCCUGAGCCAUGGCUAUUCCAUGCCCUAUGGCACCAGUGAAGUCAAGGGGGCAGAGCCCAGCUGACCUCACCCAAAGAUCCUGAGAAGGGGGGAGGAAUUGAGCUUGGGGAGGGGAAGGUUGGAGGCUGGGGCUCCCCAUCCGGAGAGGAAAGAUUAGAGCUUUGCCACCCCUGGAUGGUCAGGCAGGGAGAGAGAAAAUUGCCCCUCGAAAGGGGACCCUAAAAAAUCAAAUCCUAACCCCCCCCACCGCCAGGCAUGUCCUGCAGCCUGACCCUUAAAGGGAGUGGCCUUUUCAGGUGGCAGGGGUGGUGUUUUGAAAGGGGGGGCGGGGAGGGGAGCCAGAGAGACUGGCUCGAAGGACAAUGGGAGUUAAAGGCAAUGCUUUUUUUCCACAUGAUGUGGAUCGAGCCUGGGGAACUCACCACCACAGGGAGUCAUUGAGACCAAGAAUUCAGGGCGGUUCAAAAGGGGAGUGGACAGGUCCAGCCUGCGUUAAGCCGGGGGCCAGACUAGGCGAUCUCAGCGCUCCCAGCAGGCCCCAGAAUCUAUGGAGAACAGGACUAUCCGGCGGGAUCGUAACAUGGGAAGGGAUAUCAAACUGGUUUUAGGGGGAAUGGAACUCAGGAGUCCUG